AGAUAGUCCUUAUAACUCUAAAUUCUACGCAGAACUUAUCAAUUCCCAGUGGACAAUGUUGCUUUCUUCUCUACAUUCUUUCCUCUGAUAUACAUUCUCUUCUACCAUAAAAACUUUUUCAAAAAUGCACAUUCUUAGCUUAACUUCCCAAUCUAGAUUCUCCAUAAAGAUAGUCUGGUGGCUCUUCAUUAAUCCCUUUCUGGGAGCACUGAGGUCGUGUAACUAGGAAAUUGCUUAUGAUUAAGGGCCUUUCAUUUAAAUCUUGCUGACCUCACACAAAAAAUUAAAGGAACAGUAAUCUUUCCAAAACUCACAUGAGAAUACUAAAAUAGUGGGAGAAUGUGGCCUUGUACAGUUUCCACUCAAGGACUAGGAACUGAAUGUCUGCACCCUUAAAACCACUCUCUUGGCCGGGCGCGGUGGCUGAAUUUUUUUUUUUUCCCCCAAGAAUGAAGUGACACAAAUUAGGAUCAUGACACUGAAUCCGAUGAAAAUAACAGACUUAGUCCCCAGACUUUCCAAGCUGGGAAGGAAAAGGGAACCACAAAGGAGUUCCCAAAGCGUUAACCUUUCAUUUAAAUAUCUCAAUAUUUGAAUGAUUUCUACACACAGCCUUUUUUAGCUUUUGUAUGUGCAGUGACCAAACUACUAAUCAAAUACAACAAAACUGGGCGGGCGCGGUGGAUGCCUGUAAUUCCAGCACUUUGAGAGGCCGACGUGGACGAAUCACUUGAGGCCAGGAGUUCAAGACCAGCCUGGCCAACAUGAUGAAACCCCGUCUUUACUACAAAUACAAAAAUUAGCCGAGUGUGGUGGCGCGCGCCGGUACUUCCAGCUACUCGGGAGUCUGAGGCAGGGGAAUCGCUUGAACCCGGGAGGCAGAGGUUGCAGUGAGCCAAGAUCGCGCCACUGCACUCCAGUUUGGGCGAC
RNAcentral lists this long non-coding RNA (930 nucleotides) under Pan troglodytes (chimpanzee). RNAcentral describes it as "long non-coding RNA NONPTRT002625". The record is from RNAcentral. Lineage: Eukaryota; Metazoa; Chordata; Mammalia; Primates; Hominidae.